CAGUCGAGCGGUAGCACAGAGAGCUUGCUCUCGGGUGACGAGCGGCGGACGGGUGAGUAAUGUCUGGGAAACUGCCUGAUGGAGGGGGAUAACUACUGGAAACGGUAGCUAAUACCGCAUAACGUCGCAAGACCAAAGUGGGGGACCUUCGGGCCUCAUGCCAUCAGAUGUGCCCAGAUGGGAUUAGCUAGUAGGUGGGGUAACGGCUCACCUAGGCGACGAUCCCUAGCUGGUCUGAGAGGAUGACCAGCCACACUGGAACUGAGACACGGUCCAGACUCCUACGGGAGGCAGCAGUGGGGAAUAUUGCACAAUGGGCGCAAGCCUGAUGCAGCCAUGCCGCGUGUGUGAAGAAGGCCUUCGGGUUGUAAAGCACUUUCAGCGGGGAGGAAGGCGGUGAGGUUAAUAACCUCAUCGAUUGACGUUACCCGCAGAAGAAGCACCGGCUAACUCCGUGCCAGCAGCCGCGGUAAUACGGAGGGUGCAAGCGUUAAUCGGAAUUACUGGGCGUAAAGCGCACGCAGGCGGUCUGUCAAGUCGGAUGUGAAAUCCCCGGGCUCAACCUGGGAACUGCAUUCGAAACUGGCAGGCUAGAGUCUUGUAGAGGGGGGUAGAAUUCCAGGUGUAGCGGUGAAAUGCGUAGAGAUCUGGAGGAAUACCGGUGGCGAAGGCGGCCCCCUGGACAAAGACUGACGCUCAGGUGCGAAAGCGUGGGGAGCAAACAGGAUUAGAUACCCUGGUAGUCCACGCCGUAAACGAUGUCGAUUUGGAGGUUGUGCCCUUGAGGCGUGGCUUCCGGAGCUAACGCGUUAAAUCGACCGCCUGGGGAGUACGGCCGCAAGGUUAAAACUCAAAUGAAUUGACGGGGGCCCGCACAAGCGGUGGAGCAUGUGGUUUAAUUCGAUGCAACGCGAAGAACCUUACCUGGUCUUGACAUCCACAGAACUUAGCAGAGAUGCUUUGGUGCCUUCGGGAACUGUGAGACAGGUGCUGCAUGGCUGUCGUCAGCUCGUGUUGUGAAAUGUUGGGUUAAGUCCCGCAACGAGCGCAACCCUUAUCCUUUGUUGCCAGCGGUUAGGCCGGGAACUCAAAGGAGACUGCCAGUGAUAAACUGGAGGAAGGUGGGGAUGACGUCAAGUCAUCAUGGCCCUUACGACCAGGGCUACACACGUGCUACAAUGGCAUAUACAAAGAGAAGCGACCUCGCGAGAGCAAGCGGACCUCAUAAAGUAUGUCGUAGUCCGGAUUGGAGUCUGCAACUCGACUCCAUGAAGUCGGAAUCGCUAGUAAUCGUAGAUCAGAAUGCUACGGUGAAUACGUUCCCGGGCCUUGUACACACCGCCCGUCACACCAUGGGAGUGGGUUGCAAAAGAAGUAGGUAGCUUAACCUUCGGGAGGGCGC
RNAcentral lists this ribosomal RNA (1402 nucleotides) under Klebsiella pneumoniae subsp. rhinoscleromatis. RNAcentral describes it as "bacterial SSU rRNA". It matches the Rfam family "Bacterial small subunit ribosomal RNA". Lineage: Bacteria; Pseudomonadati; Pseudomonadota; Gammaproteobacteria; Enterobacterales; Enterobacteriaceae. The record is from RNAcentral.